CACGUAGGGUGCGAGCGUUGUCCGGAAUUAUUGGGCGUAAAGCGCGCGUAGGCGGCCCGGUAAGUCCGCUGUGAAAGUCAAAGGCUCAACCUUUGAAUGUCAGCGGAUACUGCCGGGCUAGAGUCCGGAAGAGGCGAGUGGAAUUCCUGGUGUAGCGGUGGAAUGCGCAGAUAUCAGGAGGAACACCAACGGCGAAGGCAGCUCGCUGGGACGGUACUGACGCUGAGGCGCGAAAGCGUGGGGAGCGAACAGG
This 253-nucleotide ribosomal RNA is filed under the name uncultured bacterium. Its description in RNAcentral is "partial 16S ribosomal RNA". It matches the Rfam family "Bacterial small subunit ribosomal RNA", at positions 524 to 776 of the family's 1533-position model. The record is from RNAcentral.